Molecule: ribosomal RNA, 460 nt
Filed under: uncultured bacterium
Lineage: Bacteria
Description: partial 16S ribosomal RNA
Rfam family: Bacterial small subunit ribosomal RNA
Source: RNAcentral
CCUACGGGAGGCAGCAGUGAGGAAUAUUGGUCAAUGGGCGCGAGCCUGAACCAGCCAAGUAGCGUGAAGGAUGACUGCCCUACGGGUUGUAAACUUCUUUUAUAAAGGAAUAAAGUGAGGCACGUGUGCCUUAUUGUCUGUACUUUAUGAAUAAGGAUCGACUAACUCCGUGCCAGCAGCCGCGGUAAUACGGAGGAUCCGAGCGUUAUCCGGAUUUAUUGGUUUUAAAGGGAGCGUAGAUGGGUUGUUAAGUCAGUUGUGAAAGUUUGCGGCUCAACCGUAAAAGUGCAAUUGAUACUGGCAGUCUUGAGUACAGUUGAGGUAGGCGGAAUUCGUGGUGUAGCGGUGAAAUGCUUAGAUAUCACGAAGAACUCCGAUUGCGAAGGCAGCUUACUAAACUGCCACUGACAUUGAUGCUCGAAAGUGUGGGUAUCAAACAGGAUUAGAUACCCUGGUAGUC